ACGGGUGAGUAACGCGUGGGAAUCUACCGAGCCCUGCGGAAUAGCUCCGGGAAACUGGAAUUAAUACCGCAUACGCCCUACGGGGGAAAGAUUUAUCGGGGUUUGAUGAGCCCGCGUUGGAUUAGCUAGUUGGUGAGGUAAAGGCCUACCAAGGCGACGAUCCAUAGCUGGUCUGAGAGGAUGAUCAGCCACAUUGGGACUGAGACACGGCCCAAACUCCUACGGGAGGCAGCAGUGGGGAAUAUUGGACAAUGGGCGCAAGCCUGAUCCAGCCAUGCCGCGUGAGUGAUGAAGGCCCUAGGGUUGUAAAGCUCUUUCAACGGUGAAGAUAAUGACGGUAACCGUAGAAGAAGCCCCGGCUAACUUCGUGCCAGCAGCCGCGGUAAUACGAAGGGGGCUAGCGUUGUUCGGAAUUACUGGGCGUAAAGCGCACGUAGGCGGAUAUUUAAGUCAGGGGUGAAAUCCCGGGGCUCAACCUCGGAACUGCCUUUGAUACUGGGUAUCUUGAGUAUGGAAGAGGUAAGUGGAAUUGCGAGUGUAGAGGUGAAAUUCGUAGA
This 557-nucleotide ribosomal RNA is filed under the name uncultured bacterium. Its description in RNAcentral is "bacterial SSU rRNA". It matches the Rfam family "Bacterial small subunit ribosomal RNA", at positions 102 to 694 of the family's 1533-position model. The record is from RNAcentral.